AAUCAACGCUGGCGGCGUGCCUAACACAUGCAAGUCGCGCGCGAAAGGGGGGCAACUCCCGAGUAAAGCGGCGAACGGGUGAGUAACACGUGGGUAAUCUACCUUCGAGUGGGGAACAACACCGGGAAACUGGUGCUAAUUCCGCAUGACAUCGUCGGGGCUUCGGUUCUGACGCUCAAAGCUGGGGAUCGCAAGACCUAGCGCUUGAAGAUGAGCCCGCGUCCGAUUAGCAGUUGGCGGGGUAAUGGCCCACCAAGGCUUCGAUCGGUAGCCGGCCUGAGAGGGCGGACGGCCACACUGGAACUGAGACACGGUCCAGACUCCUACGGGAGGCAGCAGUGGGGAAUUUUUCGCAAUGGGGGCAACCCUGACGAAGCAACGCCGCGUGGGGAUGAAGGUCUUCGGA
RNAcentral lists this ribosomal RNA (406 nucleotides) under uncultured bacterium. Its description in RNAcentral is "bacterial SSU rRNA". It matches the Rfam family "Bacterial small subunit ribosomal RNA", at positions 32 to 422 of the family's 1533-position model. The record is from RNAcentral.